This 360-nucleotide long non-coding RNA is filed under the name Bemisia tabaci. RNAcentral describes it as "lncRNA ENSSWEETPG009377". The record is from RNAcentral. Lineage: Eukaryota; Metazoa; Arthropoda; Insecta; Hemiptera; Aleyrodidae.
AAACAACUGCGUGAGAAGUUGGAGGAAAUGGAAAAAGAAGUAAAGAGCAAGGAAGAAGACAUCAACAACAACAAUACUCAACUUAGCGAAUUAAAAGACCAGUUACGUAGUCUCAUAGCAGAAUGCGAAGAUCUCUUUAUUGUUUACGACGAAAAAAGAAACAAGGUUUUAGAGCUUAAGGAAAUCGCAUGAAAUCUUACAACUGGAGCACUGAUGCUGCAUGGGAUUCAGCUCCUACAACAUGGUCAGAUGAUACCACCGUUGAAGGUAAUCUUUCCUCUUUUUCUGCUGAUUUAAUUUUUCAGUGGAAAGAUGGAUUUGUUUUCACUGCAAUAUAUUGAUAAUCUUUAAAUAUUAGCC